This 460-nucleotide ribosomal RNA is filed under the name uncultured bacterium. RNAcentral's name for it is "partial 16S ribosomal RNA". It matches the Rfam family "Bacterial small subunit ribosomal RNA", at positions 338 to 795 of the family's 1533-position model. The record is from RNAcentral.
CCUACGGGAGGCAGCAGUGAGGAAUAUUGGUCAAUGGGCGCUAGCCUGAACCAGCCAAGUCGCGUGAAGGAUGACUGCCCUAUGGGUUGUAAACUUCUUUUAUAUGGGAAUAAAGUCCAGUAUGUAUCCUGCUUUGCAUGUACCUUAUGAAUAAGGAUCGGCUAACUCCGUGCCAGCAGCAGCGUUAAUACGGAGGAUCCGAGCGUUAUCCGGAUUUAAUGGGUGUAAAGGGAGCGUAGGCGGGUUGUUAAGUAAGUGGUGAAAGGUUGCGGCUCAACCGUAAAACUGCAGUUGAUACUGGCAGCCUGGAGUACAGUAGAGGUAGGCGGAAUGCGUGGUGUAGCGGUGAAAUGCUUAGAUAUCACGAAGAACUCCGAUUGCGAAGGCAGCCUGCUGGACUGUAACUGACGCUGAGGCUCGAAAGUGUGGGUAUCAAACAGGAUUAGAUACCCGUGUAGUC